This 301-nucleotide ribosomal RNA is filed under the name uncultured bacterium. Its description in RNAcentral is "partial 16S ribosomal RNA". It matches the Rfam family "Bacterial small subunit ribosomal RNA", at positions 509 to 809 of the family's 1533-position model. The record is from RNAcentral.
CAGUAGCCACGGGAAUACGUAGGUGGCAAGCGUUGUCCGGAAUUAUUGGGCGUAAAGCGCGCGCAGGCGGAUAGGUCAGUCUGUCUUAAAAGUUCGGGGCUUAACCCCGUGAUGAGAUGGAAACCGCCAAUCUAGAGUAUCGGAGAGGAAAGUGGAAUUCCUAGUGUAGCGGUGAAAUGCGUAGAUAUUAGGAAGAACACCAGUGGCGAAGGCGACUUUCUGGACGAAAACUGACGCUGAGGCGCGAAAGCCAGGGGAGCGAACGGGAUUAGAUACCCCCGGUAGUCCCUGUCUCUUAUAA